This 429-nucleotide ribosomal RNA is filed under the name Bacteroidota bacterium. RNAcentral's name for it is "Bacteroidetes bacterium partial 16S ribosomal RNA". It matches the Rfam family "Bacterial small subunit ribosomal RNA", at positions 355 to 776 of the family's 1533-position model. Lineage: Bacteria; Pseudomonadati; Bacteroidota. The record is from RNAcentral.
UAGGGAAUCUUCCGCAAUGGACGCAAGUCUGACGGAGCAACGCCGCGUGAGUGAAGAAGGAUUUCGGUUCGUAAAACUCUGUUGUUAGAGAAGAACGGCGCAUAGAGUAACUGUUAUGCGUGUGACGGUAUCUAACCAGAAAGCCACGGCUAACUACGUGCCAGCAGCCGCGGUAAUACGUAGGUGGCAAGCGUUGUCCGGAUUUAUUGGGCGUAAAGCGAGCGCAGGCGGUCAAUUAAGUCUGAUGUGAAAGCCCCCGGCUCAACCGGGGAGGGUCAUUGGAAACUGGUUGACUUGAGUGCAGAAGAGGAGAGUGGAAUUCCAUGUGUAGCGGUGAAAUGCGUAGAUAUAUGGAGGAACACCAGUGGCGAAGGCGACUCUCUGGUCUGUAACUGACGCUGAGGCUCGAAAGCGUGGGUAGCAAACAGG